Molecule: ribosomal RNA, 131 nt
Filed under: Bacillota bacterium
Lineage: Bacteria; Bacillati; Bacillota
Description: Firmicutes bacterium (anaerobic digester metagenome) partial 16S ribosomal RNA
Rfam family: Bacterial small subunit ribosomal RNA
Source: RNAcentral
UUUGUCGGAGAGUUUGAUCCUGGCUCAGGACGAACGCUGGCGGCAUGCCUCAUACAUGCAAGUCGAGCGGUCUUUAAGAAGAAGGCUUGCCUUCGUCUUAAAGAUAGCGGCGGACGGGUGAGUAACGCGUG